UACGGGGGGGGCAAGCGUUGUUCGGAAUUACUGGGCGUAAAGGGCUCGUAGGUGGCCAACUAAGUCAUACGUGAAAUCCCUCGGCUUAACCGGGGAACGGCGUCUGAUACUGGAUGGCUUGAGUUUGGGAGAGGGAUGCGGAAUUCCAGGUGUAGCGGUGAAAUGCGUAGAUAUCUGGAGGAACACCGGUGGCGAAGGCGGCAUCCUGGACCAACACUGACGCUGAGGAGCGAAAGCCAGGGGAGCAAACGGG
RNAcentral lists this ribosomal RNA (253 nucleotides) under uncultured bacterium. Its description in RNAcentral is "partial 16S ribosomal RNA". It matches the Rfam family "Bacterial small subunit ribosomal RNA", at positions 524 to 776 of the family's 1533-position model. The record is from RNAcentral.